Molecule: ribosomal RNA, 708 nt
Filed under: uncultured beta proteobacterium
Lineage: Bacteria; Pseudomonadati; Pseudomonadota; Betaproteobacteria
Description: bacterial SSU rRNA
Rfam family: Bacterial small subunit ribosomal RNA
Source: RNAcentral
UUUACACAUGCAAGUCGAACGGUAACAGGUCUUCGGAUGCUGACGAGUGGCGAACGGGUGAGUAAUACAUCGGAACGUGCCUAGUAGUGGGGGAUAACUACUCGAAAGAGUAGCUAAUACCGCAUGAGAUCUACGGAUGAAAGCAGGGGACCUUCGGGCCUUGUGCUACUAGAGCGGCUGAUGGCAGAUUAGGUAGUUGGUGGGGUAAAGGCUUACCAAGCCUGCGAUCUGUAGCUGGUCUGAGAGGACGACCAGCCACACUGGGACUGAGACACGGCCCAGACUCCUACGGGAGGCAGCAGUGGGGAAUUUUGGACAAUGGGCGAAAGCCUGAUCCAGCAAUGCCGCGUGCAGGAUGAAGGCCCUCGGGUUGUAAGCUGCUUUUGUACGGAACGAAAAGCCUGGGGCUAAUACCCCCGGGUCAUGACGGUACCGUAAGAAUAAGCACCGGCUAACUACGUGCCAGCAGCCGCGGUAAUACGUAGGGUGCAAGCGUUAAUCGGAAUUACUGGGCGUAAAGCGUGCGCAGGCGGUUUUGUAAGACAGUGGUGAAAUCCCCGGGCUCAACCUGGGAACUGCCGUUGUGACUGCAAGGCUAGAGUGCGGCAGAGGGGGAUGGAAUUCCGCGUGUAGCAGUGAAAUGCGUAGAUAUGCGGAGGAACACCGAUGGCGAAGGCAAUCCCCUGGGCCUGCACUGACGCUCAUGCA